GACGAACGCUGGCGGCGUGCUUAACACAUGCAAGUCGAGCGGUAAGGCCCUUUCGGGGGUACACGAGCGGCGAACGGGUGAGUAACACGUGGGUGACCUGCCCUCAGCUCUGGGAUAAGCCCGGGAAACUGGGUCUAAUACCGGAUAUGACUCCAUGACGCAUGUUGUGGGGUGGAAAGCCUUGUGCGGCUGAGGAUGGGCCCGCGGCCUAUCAGCUUGUUGGUGGGGUGAUGGCCACCAAGGCGACGACGGGUAGCCGGCCUGAGAGGGCGACCGGCCACACUGGGACUGAGACACGGCCCAGACUCCUACGGGAGGCAGCAGUGGGGAAUAUUGGACAAUGGCGCAAGCCUGAUCCAGCCAUGCCGCGUGGGUGAUGAAGGCCCUAGGGUUGUAAAGCCCUUUCGGCGGGGAAGAUAAUGACGGUACCCGCAGAAGAAGCCCCGGC
This 448-nucleotide ribosomal RNA is filed under the name uncultured bacterium. Its description in RNAcentral is "bacterial SSU rRNA". It matches the Rfam family "Bacterial small subunit ribosomal RNA", at positions 28 to 497 of the family's 1533-position model. The record is from RNAcentral.